GACGAACGCUGGCGGCGUGCUUAACACAUGCAAGUCGAACGCUGAAGCACCAGCUUGCUGGUGUGGAUGAGUGGCGAACGGGUGAGUAAUACGUGAGUAACCUGCCCUUGACUCUGGGAUAAGCCCGGGAAACUGGGUCUAAUACUGGAUGCUACAUGUCACCGCAUGGUGGUGUGUGGAAAGGGUUUACUGGUCUUGGAUGGGCUCACGGCCUAUCAGCUUGUUGGUGAGGUCAUGGCUCCCCAAGGCGACGACGGGUAGCCGGCCCGGGCGGGUGACCGGCCACACUGGGACUUGGACACGGCCCAGGCCCCUACGGUAGGCAGCAGUGGGGAAUUUUGCACCAUGGGCGGAAGCCUGGUGCAGCGGCGCCGCGUGGGGGAUGGCGGCCUUCGGGUUGUAAACCUCUUUCAGCAGGUAAGAAGCCGCAAGUGACGGUACCUGCAGAAGAAGCGCCGGCUAACUACGUG
This 470-nucleotide ribosomal RNA is filed under the name uncultured bacterium. Its description in RNAcentral is "partial 16S ribosomal RNA". It matches the Rfam family "Bacterial small subunit ribosomal RNA", at positions 28 to 507 of the family's 1533-position model. The record is from RNAcentral.